AAGACUUUCCCCUCGGGGAUCAAUAAAGUAUUUCUGAUUCUGAUUCUGCUACCGGAAGUUAUGUUAUUAUUUGCAUUAAACAUUGAAGUUUAGCUCAGAAACUUCUAUGACAAGUUUCCACAGCAGCUGCUAGCUCGCUGUCAGAGCUCUACAUCCCAACAUCCCGCGAGUGCUGCAGUCGGAUGCCUCUUUAUUUUGAAGAUUACAAAGGCCCGGACGUCUUACUGUUGGAACAUUUUAACUGUUAUUAUAAAUCAAACUUGAUUUUGUUUUCUUAAAUCGUUUUCAAUGUUUGUGAAUCUUGAUGAUAAAGAAACAACAACGGAUGUUUCUGCUUCCGGUUGUUACCAUUUUAAUACGGAAAAGUGGCACAGACCCCUCUGCGCGCCGUUGCUAGGAGACGUCCGCAGUCCCUCUGCGCACGCGUGCUGAUGACGUUCUUCGCUAACAACAAGCAAACGCUCCUUGGCAACCAGCUCGUUAAACGCCAGAAUCUACAAAAAAACACAAGUUAAAUUAUAAGAAGCUAACGUUCGUUAGCCGACAGAUCCGUGUUUUCACUUCAUCAGG
Molecule: long non-coding RNA, 570 nt
Organism: Siniperca chuatsi (mandarin fish)
Lineage: Eukaryota; Metazoa; Chordata; Actinopteri; Centrarchiformes; Sinipercidae
Exons: 2
Source: RefSeq, a predicted model, not a curated record